GACGAACGCUGGCGGCGUGCUUAACACAUGCAAGUCGAGCGGUAAGGCCCUUUCGGGGGUACACGAGCGGCGAACGGGUGAGUAACACGUGGGUGACCUGCCUUUAGCUCUGGGAUAAGCCUGGGAAACUGGGUCUAAUACCGGAUAUGACCCUAUGGCGCAUGUUGUGGGGUGGAAAGCCUUGUGCGGCUAGGGAUGGGCCCGCGGCCUAUCAGCUUGUUGGUGGGGUGAUGGCCUACCAAGGCGACGACGGGUAGCCGGCCUGAGAGGGCGACCGGCCACACUGGGACUGAGACACGGCCCAGACUCCUACGGGAGGCAGCAGUGGGGAAUCUUGCGCAAUGGGCGAAAGCCUGACGCAGCGACGCCGCGUGAGGGAUGAAGGCGCUCUGCGUCGUAAACUUCUUUACUCGAGAAAAAUUGUUGGGUUUCUACCUGACUUGAUUGUACCGAGAGAAUAAGGACCGGCUAACUUCGUGCCAGCCG
RNAcentral lists this ribosomal RNA (486 nucleotides) under uncultured bacterium. RNAcentral describes it as "bacterial SSU rRNA". It matches the Rfam family "Bacterial small subunit ribosomal RNA", at positions 28 to 514 of the family's 1533-position model. The record is from RNAcentral.